This 488-nucleotide ribosomal RNA is filed under the name uncultured bacterium. RNAcentral's name for it is "partial 16S ribosomal RNA". It matches the Rfam family "Bacterial small subunit ribosomal RNA", at positions 28 to 507 of the family's 1533-position model. The record is from RNAcentral.
GAUGAACGCUGGCGGCGUGCCUAAUACAUGCAAGUCGAACGAAAGGGCGCGGCGCUUGCUGUUCGGAUGUGAGCGGAGCGCGGGUGUGUAACGCGUGGAUACCGUACCUAUCAGUGUGGGAUAACUUCGAAAAACCGGCGCUUAUACCGGAGAAUAUUCUGCACCACAGGGGGCGUAGGUAAAUGACGGUCUUUCGGGCUCGAAUAGAGGGGUAUGCGCUGGUUGGUGGGGUAGGGGCUUACCAAGGUUUUGAAGGGUAGCCGACCUAAGAGGGUGAUCGGCCACCCUGGAGGUUGGACACGGUCCAGGGGCCUGCGGGAGGCAGCAGGCUGCAAUCUGCCGCAAUGGGCGGGAACCUGACGGAGCAACGCCGCGUGAGUUAUGAAGGUCUUCGGUGCGUAAAACUCUGUUAUUAGUUAAGAACAGCUUUGGCCGUAACUGAGCAGUGAGUGACGGUACCUAGUCAGAAAGCCCCGGCUAACUACGUG